GAUGAAGAACGUAGCGAAAUGCGAUACGUAAUGUGAAUUGCAAAUUCAGUGAAUCAUCGAGUCUUUGAACGCACAUUGCGCCCCCUGGUAUUCCGGGGGGCAUGCCUGUCCGAGCGUCAUUGCUGCCCUCAAGCACGGCUUGUGUGUUGGGCCCCGUCCUCCGAUCCCGGGGGACGGGCCCGAAAAGCAGCGGCGGCACCGCGUCCGGUCCUCGAGCGUAUGGGACUUUGUCACCCGCUCUGUAGGCCCGGCCGGCGCUUGCCGAUCAACCCAAAUUUUUUAUCCAGGUUGACCUCGGAUCAGGUAGGGAUACCCGCUGAACUUAAGCAUAUCAAUAAGCGGAGGA
Molecule: unclassified non-coding RNA, 346 nt
Filed under: soil metagenome
Description: partial contains 5.8S ribosomal RNA, internal transcribed spacer 2, and large subunit ribosomal RNA
Rfam family: 5.8S ribosomal RNA (bases 1-119)
Source: RNAcentral